Molecule: transfer RNA, 63 nt
Filed under: Glycera cf. tridactyla FS20
Lineage: Eukaryota; Metazoa; Annelida; Polychaeta; Phyllodocida; Glyceridae
Description: tRNA-Asp
Source: RNAcentral
GAGAAUCUAGUUAAUUUAUAAUAUAGACUUGUCAAGUCUAAGUUACCUUGUAGGUGAUUCUCU